CGUUUCCUGACUCCAGCCUUCACCGUUCCCUGUCUUGGCUUCUCCUCUGGCCGGUUCUGUGUUUCCACCGACUUCCUGGAGUGCAGCUAGUCGCUGAACAUAUGGGCCUUAUGACGGACCACAGCAGAGCGCAGAUCUCGGGCGUAACAGGGAGCG
Long non-coding RNA from Sardina pilchardus (European sardine), 156 nucleotides. RefSeq lists it as uncharacterized. The transcript has 3 exons. The record is from RefSeq and is a predicted model, not a curated record. Lineage: Eukaryota; Metazoa; Chordata; Actinopteri; Clupeiformes; Clupeidae.